Long non-coding RNA from Megachile rotundata (alfalfa leafcutting bee), 394 nucleotides. The record is from RefSeq and is a predicted model, not a curated record. Lineage: Eukaryota; Metazoa; Arthropoda; Insecta; Hymenoptera; Megachilidae.
GAAUGGGGUUGCGCAUGGUGAUCGAUGCUUGGUCUGUGCUUCAUCGACGAAACACUGUCAUAUAUUACAAGACUCGUUAGAUUUGAAAAAGGUGCUUGAAGCGACGUUCGAGGUGAAGUGUCUUGGGGCAAAGGUUGCGGAAUCGUCAUGCUAGCCAUUGCCUGCAAGCCAGACUGUCCAUGCGGUUAACUAUAAUACAAAGAGGUUAGCUAAACGCGACACAUGCAAAGAAGUGAUCAUUGAAAUAUUUACACCAGAGCCGGCUUGGUCCAUCAGUUGCAUUGCCUGCAGAACCGGGCAAGGUGAUUCUUUAGUAUGGUGCCUUCUGGCUCGGGCAACGGAGGCAAUUGAUCACCCGCACCGGUAGGUGGGUUUAUCUUAUUGCUGUCUAGAU